Molecule: long non-coding RNA, 880 nt
Filed under: Gossypium barbadense (sea-island cotton)
Lineage: Eukaryota; Viridiplantae; Streptophyta; Magnoliopsida; Malvales; Malvaceae
Description: long non-coding RNA (GBAR_LNC006083)
Source: RNAcentral
AAAAACCCAAAACUUCAAAUGUAAAUAAAAGGAUGUCCAGUUCACCAGAAGAAAAUCAAACUUUCAGAAACAGGUGGCCACUCCGAAUUCCCUCACAGCUCCAAGCCCACUAUGGUUGGGGAUUACCUGCGUGGAUGAAAAUAAAAGGGGUGAGUUUGGGGAAACUCAGUGUGUAAAUUAAUCUGUUUGACUAAUCUGACCACUCUUCAUUACGAAUCAAAUUUCUCAUUGUACAGAAUUCAAAAUAUGUUCUUGUUUAUUUCAUUAGAAACUAGACUCAAUAAGCUUUAAUUACAUAAUUUAUUCAGCUUCUAAUUCAUCUCCCACAAUUUAUGGUGAUUUUCCAAAGUCACGUUACUGCUGCUGUCCCAAGCAGAUUUAUUACCAAAUCACUCUUUCACACAUACCUUGCAUGCAUGUUAUUUAAACAUGUAUAUCACCAAUCAAUCAUCACAUAUCUAUGAUUUUACUUAAGUAUAAUCUCCAUUUCAUCAUUUUAAAGCACAACAUGUUAGCUGAUUUUUCCCUUUAACAUCUAAGGCACAUGCAUGCUCAUUUGUUUGGCUCAACUUUACCUAUCUUCCAUUUUUCAUCAAAAGAACAUGAAACAACAACCAUUUCCUUCAUUUUAAUUCAUGACUAAAUGCUCACAACACAACUAAAAAUCAAAAUAUACUUCAAGAGUUAAGGUAGAAUCAAGAAGAACUCAUGAACCUCAAAAUAGAAGCAAGGUACCAAGAACUUACCUUCAAUUUUCCUCCUCCUAAUGAUCAAAUACUCAAGAGCUUUCUCCUCUCCUUUCUCUUCUCUAACUUUCGGCUAUGAUGAACAAAGAUGAACAAAACUUUGUUCUUUUCACCCCUUUUUCUUUUAAUAAAAC